This 430-nucleotide ribosomal RNA is filed under the name Rhodococcus sp. z22. RNAcentral's name for it is "bacterial SSU rRNA". It matches the Rfam family "Bacterial small subunit ribosomal RNA", at positions 538 to 968 of the family's 1533-position model. The record is from RNAcentral. Lineage: Bacteria; Bacillati; Actinomycetota; Actinomycetes; Mycobacteriales; Nocardiaceae.
GCGUUGUCCGGAUUACUGGGCGUAAAGAGUUCGUAGGCGGUUUGUCGCGUCGUUUGUGAAAACAAGCAGCUCAACUGCUGGCUUGCAGGCGAUACGGGCAGACUUGAGUACUGCAGGGGAGACUGGAAUUCCUGGUGUAGCGGUGAAAUGCGCAGAUAUCAGGAGGAACACCGGUGGCGAAGGCGGGUCUCUGGGCAGUAACUGACGCUGAGGAACGAAAGCGUGGGUAGCGAACAGGAUUAGAUACCCUGGUAGUCCACGCCGUAAACGGUGGGCGCUAGGUGUGGGUUCCUUCCACGGAAUCCGUGCCGUAUCUAACGCAUUAAGCGCCCCGCCUGGGGAGUACGGCCACAAGGCUAAAACUCAAAGGAAUUGACUGGGGCUNUUUANNCGGCGGAACAUGUGGAUUAAUUUNNNGGNGAGCAAAAAA